This is a small nucleolar RNA of Hippopotamus amphibius kiboko, 138 nucleotides long. RefSeq annotates it as small nucleolar RNA SNORA67. NCBI's taxonomy places the organism in Eukaryota, Metazoa, Chordata, Mammalia, Artiodactyla, Hippopotamidae. The transcript has a single exon. The record is from RefSeq and is a predicted model, not a curated record.
UCCCAAGGAGAUUUCUUCUCCUGGGAUAAAUCAUAUACCCCAGGAAUGUAGCCCCUUGGAAAAAUAUCUGGUACUCUUGAGAAUGUUAUAGUAGAUGAUUGAUAUGUUAUUUUUGCUCUCCUUAAAUUGUAAGUAUAC